RNAcentral lists this unclassified non-coding RNA (253 nucleotides) under uncultured Caryophanales bacterium. RNAcentral's name for it is "uncultured Bacillales bacterium contains 16S-23S intergenic spacer region". It matches the Rfam family "Bacterial small subunit ribosomal RNA", at positions 524 to 776 of the family's 1533-position model. The record is from RNAcentral. Lineage: Bacteria; Bacillati; Bacillota; Bacilli; Caryophanales.
UACGUAGGUGGCAAGCGUUGUCCGGAAUUAUUGGGCGUAAAGCGCGCGCAGGCGGCCUCUUAAGUCUGAUGUGAAAGCCCCCGGCUCAACCGGGGAGGGCCAUUGGAAACUGGGAGGCUUGAGUAUGGGAGAGGAUGGUAGAAUUCCAGGUGUAGCGGUGAAAUGCGUAGAGAUCUGGAGGAAUACCGAUGGCGAAGGCAGCCAUCUGGCCUAUAACUGACGCUGAGGCGCGAAAGCGUGGGGAGCAAACAGG